Long non-coding RNA from Hylaeus anthracinus, 3883 nucleotides. RefSeq lists it as uncharacterized. The transcript is spliced from 3 exons. NCBI's taxonomy places the organism in Eukaryota, Metazoa, Arthropoda, Insecta, Hymenoptera, Colletidae. The record is from RefSeq and is a predicted model, not a curated record.
GAGAAAGCAUUCGUCGACGCGCGUCUAAACGCUACUCGAUUUAGACCAAUUUCGACAGACCCCCCAACCCCCUGUCAAUUAUUAAGACAAUCGUCCAUUUGUUUAAAAUUGACGUUUCACUUUAAAGAAAAACUUUUUACAUGUUUUUCGUAGGGUUCGUUAAGAUCUAGAAGGUAGAAAAGUUUCAAUCUACGAUGUUCGUUAUUAUAGAAAAUCCACUCUGACUAAAUCCUCGUGAACUUUAUUUCUGUAAGAAUUCAAAUUUUUUCACUUCUCUUGCGAAUUGUUCUAUGACCUUUCGAUCCCUAGUAAUUGUACAGUAUCAACACUGAAGCUUUCGGAGCUUUAAGGGUUCAUCGGGAAUAGAUUAGCAGUACGGAGUAAUAACCAGCGCCACGUUUGCAUUUCCUCGAUAAUGGUUUCUCCCAUUAACGAAGAAAAAUUAGUUGCCGAUCAAAUACCGAUUAAAUUGGAUCUGAUUCAAUUUCAGCGAGCAUUAACGUUUCUUCUUUUUGCUAGACUCUCCUGCGCGCUCGUCCUCUUCGUCCUCUUCCACCUACCAAUUAAAACGAGCACAUCCGGUAUUUACAUAUACUACCCAAUCAGAAACAUCGCAUUAGAGCUCUCCAAAUACCUAAAACCAGCAAUCAAUAAAUUUACGUCCGACGGGGGCGCGCACGCACGCGCUUUAUUCGUGGUUGGAAGGAAAAUAAAAAUAAAAAACAAAAAGGAAAUCCAACCGAUGCAGUUGGCCUAGGUAGCGAUGGAACCGAAGAGUUUUCAAAUACUGUCACAGGUCGAAUUACGUUCCAUAAAAUAUAUUUUGUUCCAGUGGAAAUGAAUUCAAAAACAAUCACGAUUUACUUUAGAGAUACAAAAGAGGGAAGGUUCGCGUUGGAAUCUUUGCUAUCUUUCAUCUAUUUCUCAAUGAUUCUCCUCGGAAAAAUGAAUGGAAAAUUCAUGCUGCUCUUUGAAAUCCAAAGCUUCGUUAUCAAGAUACAAGCAGUCAAAGCUCCGAAUGCGCAGCUGAGCGAUCAGCUGACCCAAAGUAUAAACAGCGCGCGCCGAGAGUCCCAUCAGCAAACUUGUUCCGCUUCUAUCUAGAUAACUAAGCUUUGGAUUGCAAAAUGAUGCAAGACUUUUCGCUUCCUUUUGCUACGGUGAAUCGAUCUUGAUAAUAAUGAAAUAAACUGUGCCUCUAUCUUCCCUAUUACAGCCCUUAUUACGACUUCAAAUAAACCUAUUAAAAAAUUUGCUGUUCCACAGAAAACUGUCUACCUUCCACGCAAGUUCUCCAAUACCUGCCUCGACCAUUGGUCCCAUCACUGGUCUACAAAGGGUGUCGUUCGUUACUUGAACGUAUCCCUUACUAAUUACGUGUAACGAAAGAAAUUAACGAGCGGGAACAGCUUUGACGAAUAAAUGGCCGCGCGGAGCGGGCUCGUUACGGAAUGUUUUUUUUUUUCUUUCUUUUUUUGGGGGAGAAAAACACGAGUGAAUCGGGGCUGGCUGCGGAUGAAAAGCGUUUCAGAGUCUGCGUAACCUGCUCUGAAGAGAUCGAGCAGAAUGAAGAAACGAGACGUCCGCGUCCAAGGAAACGAGUGGGUUUUAAACGGCCACGGACGAGGGACGAGGGACGGGGGAAUAAGUUUAAGGACUCGUCGUAGUUUUUCACUGGGAAAUUCGCUGCUCGAUUACGUUAGCAUUCCCAGGAACGAGAUAUCCGCGAUUGCGGAUGUCGUUCAUCCCCCUACUCCCCCCGAAGUGACGAGAAUAAAGGCGAAGAAGAGGGAAGAGGGUAAAUCAAGAGAGGGAUUGUUUAUGGCACCGUGGCACAGAAUGCUCCUUUUAGCCUUGGAUCGCGAAAUGGGCGAGCUUUGGUAAUCGAGUCACUUUAAACAACAGCCUCGAGAUAAAGGAUAAGGGGCUGGAGGAGUGAUCAUUUUCUAGACGGUGGUUUUCGAUGGUAUCGGAACUGGAUUAUUCCUCUGCGGCUGGAUUCGAGAGGCUUUCGUACGCUUUCUACUCGUUUCUACGAUUUGAUCACUCAGUUUUGCUGUCUAAACAAUUCAAAUAGCUGUACAAUUAUAGAGGUACGAUUAAUUGAUAAACUAAAAUAGAUAUUAGGGUUUGAUGGUUAUUUUAUGUAUCAUUCGCUUGUUUUUGUUUUUUUAUUUUAGAAAUUAAUCUUGUACGAAGGACAAAAGGUCCCAGGAACAAACGAAGGUCACUAUAGGGAGCUAAGAUUGUAUUUCCUGCUGCACGUUUCCCUUUAUUGGAAACAUUCACGGAGCACGGUCAUUGGUCGGAGUCCUUGGAGGGUGCGCCACUGACGGAAGGUCUAGGCGCGAGAACGGAACGGAGACGGAGCAUUGUGUGUGCAGAAAGAAGCAGGGUGAUCGCGGGUUGAACCAGAAUAGAGAAACCACGCGCAGAAACAGGAAGAGGAACUACGAAUGUCGGGGAUAAAACGAUAGUCGAAUGUCUAGGGAGAUGGAGAGCGCUGGAAACAAAGCUGGAGUAGAAUCUCUACCGAGACCGAAGGACCGUUGAUCAAUAAUGGUAUAUUGAAUUCAAAGGAACAUUUUAACGUGCAUAAAUUAUUAUACAUAUGUAUAUACAUACACUUGUUUGUAAAGUAUCCUAAUACAACCACGGUAGACACAUGUCGAUAAUAGAAUGAAAUGAAAGAUCAAAAGUGUACGUAACAGAUAGUGACCUUACACUAGGGUUAAUUUUAAUGUAAAUUGUACGAAAAUCGAAAUCACGCUAUUUAGGUCUCGUAGCUCACAUUUGUGUUCUCGAGCUUGAUUAAAUAGCUCGUGUCUUUGAUUAUGCGUAAUUUCGGGGUUAAGUGCAACCCUUCAGCCGCAGGUGGCCUCUCUUGCGCAUGUAUCAGCAUGAAUUUGGUAUCUAUGUUCUCCGUGUACUUUUACAUAGCGAAACAGAAAUGAUUAUAUGUAUAGUAGAAUGCCUCCAAACGAUACUGAUACACUUUCUCUUUAAAUUUAAUUUCUCUUCUCACUUGAAAUUUCAAUACAAAAUUUGCCUGUCUUGCGCAUGAAUCGCCAUAAAUUCAUCACAUUUCUUCUCUAUGUGCCUUUACAUAGAAAAACACAAAUAAUAAUACAAUGGCAUAAUAUAAUUUCUCUUUAGUGUAUCACUAAGUACUGAAAACAAAGGUCGUAGCAUCAAAAGGACUCGUCCUUGAUGGCAGUUGACUGUUAUCAACGAACAAGCAACAUUUAUUCAGCUUUAUUAUUUAAUUUCAGGAGAGCUGUUGACGCUGAAGCGAAGCAAGAUGGAGAUAAAAGUAGGAGCACGAUGGAGGAAGCGGCAGAGACGGUCCAGGGGAAGGGAAAAAGAGACACUAGGCUAGGGGAGCACAGGGAGAGGGUGAAAGAGGGACCAGAAACGCGGAGAAAGAUAAAAGGAAGACCGGGGGAGGUUACGAUGCAAAUAGGGAAGGGUCGUACGUCGCGAUAGAGAAAAAGGGUGCAAAGGGACGCGAGCACGCGUCGACAAACACGCGCAAGGAUGAAAGUAGCCAGACUGUAUAGGUUUCAACGGACUUUAGAGCCCUGCUCUAAUCCUUUUCAAGAAUUUCGACUGGUCAGGGACACUUUUCCGCCAACUAAGACCCGUCUUAUUUCGCCUUUAAUUUAAACGAAAAGUACGAAAUAACUGCUGAUAAUUUUUUUUUUUUUUUUUUUUGAAAAUAAAAAUAGUGUCGAUUAAUAGAAUAAAAUUCAACGAAUUAUUUUGUCAUUUUAUAGUGGCCAACAAUUGAUAUUAUUAAAGAGAACAGACACGAAUUAUGUUUAUCCAUUCAAGCGCGAUUGUGUUGACAGACACAAACACACAUGUAUCAACGCUACCACGC